GACGAACGCUGGCGGCGUGCCUAAUACAUGCAAGUAGAACGCUGAAGGAGGAGCUUGCUUCUCUGGAUGAGUUGCGAACGGGUGAGUAACGCGUAGGUAACCUGCCUGGUAGCGGGGGAUAACUAUUGGAAACGAUAGCUAAUACCGCAUAAGAGUAGAUGUCGCAUGACAUUUGCUUGAAAGGUGCAAUUGCAUCACUACUAGAUGGACCUGCGUUGUAUUAGCUAGUUGGUGAGGUAACGGCUCACCAAGGCAACGAUACAUAGCCGACCUGAGAGGGUGAUCGGCCACACUGGGACUGAGACACGGCCCAGACUCCUACGGGAGGCAGCAGUAGGGAAUCUUCGGCAAUGGACGGAAGUCUGACCGAGCAACGCCGCGUGAGUGAAGAAGGUUUUCGGAUCGUAAAGCUCUGUUGUAAGAGAAGAACGAGUGUGAGAGUGGAAAGUUCACACUGUGACGGUAUCUUACCAGAAAGGGACGGCUAACUACGUGCCAGCAGCCGCGGUAAUACGUAGGUCCCGAGCGUUGUCCGGAUUUAUUGGGCGUAAAGCGAGCGCAGGCGGUUAGAUAAGUCUGAAGUUAAAGGCUGUGGCUUAACCAUAGUACGCUUUGGAAACUGUUUAACUUGAGUGCAAGAGGGGAGAGUGGAAUUCCAUGUGUAGCGGUGAAAUGCGUAGAUAUAUGGAGGAACACCGGUGGCGAAAGCGGCUCUCUGGCUUGUAACUGACGCUGAGGCUCGAAAGCGUGGGGAGCAAACAGG
Molecule: ribosomal RNA, 763 nt
Filed under: uncultured Streptococcus sp.
Lineage: Bacteria; Bacillati; Bacillota; Bacilli; Lactobacillales; Streptococcaceae
Description: bacterial SSU rRNA
Rfam family: Bacterial small subunit ribosomal RNA
Source: RNAcentral